UUUUCUUCUCUAGUUAAGGAACGGACUCCCUGGAAUCGGUUCAGCCAGAGAUGGGGACGUUGUUUCCGAAAAGCACCGCGGUUUCUGUGGUGUCUCGUGCUCUCUGAACGGUCCUUUAAACACCAAGGGAGGCUAUUAAUUUGCACUCAAUCGUACCGAUAUCCGCAUUAGGUCUCCAAGGUGAACAGCCUCUAGUCGAUAGAAUAAUGUAGGUAAGGGAAGUCGGCAAACUAGAUCCGUAACUUCGGGAAAAGGAUUGGCUCCAGUGGUCGGAACGGUUGGCCAGUUGGUUGAUGCUUGUCCGGCGCUGUUCUGUCUGCUUGAUGCUUUCGGGCUGAUGGCGGCCUAGUGAUAGUGCUUGCUUGUUGACGCUUUCUGGUGUGUGCUUUGACCUCGGUCUUAGUAUCCUGAUCGUUCAUCUAAACGACUAAACUGGAACCGGUACGGACUCAGGGAAUCCGACUGUCUAAUUAAAACAGAGGUGACAGAUGGUCCUUGCGGACGCUGACUGUCACUGAUUUCUGCCCAGUGCUCUGAAUGUUAAAUCGUAGUAAUUCGAGUAAGCGCGGGUAAACGGCGGGAGUAACUAUGACUCUCUUAAGGUAGCCAAAUGCCUCGUCAUUUAAUUGUUGACGCGCAUGAAUGGAUUAACGAGAUUCCUACUGUCCCUAACUACUAUCUAGCGAAACCACAGCCAAGGGAACGGGCUUGGCAAAAAUAGCGGGGAAAGAAGACCCUGUUGAGCUUGACUCUAGUUUGACAUUGUGAAGAGUCAUGAGAGGUGUAGCAUAGGUGGGAGUCUUCGGACGCCAAUGAAAUACCACCACUUUCAUCGACUCUUUACUUAUUCGGUUAAAAGAGAAUUGGUCGCAAGGCCUCUUUUCGAAGUAUUAAGCGGAUCCAUUUUAUGGAACCGUGACUCUCCCCGAAGACAGUGUCAAGCGGGGAGUUUGACUGGGGCGGUACAUCUAUCAAAUCGUAACGUAGGUGUCCUAAGGCGAGCUCAGAGAGGACGGAAACCUCUCGUAGAGCAAAAGGGCAAAAGCUUGCUUGAUCUUGACUUUCAGUACGAGUACAGACCGCGAAAGCGUGGCCUAUCGAUCCUUUUAAUUUUCCAGA
Molecule: non-coding RNA, 1119 nt
Filed under: Caenorhabditis japonica
Lineage: Eukaryota; Metazoa; Nematoda; Chromadorea; Rhabditida; Rhabditidae
Description: Eukaryotic large subunit ribosomal RNA
Rfam family: Eukaryotic large subunit ribosomal RNA
Source: Rfam by way of RNAcentral